GAAAUGCGAUAAGUAAUGUGAAUUGCAGAAUUCCGUGAAUCACCGAAUCUUUGAACGCACAUUGCGCCCUCUGGUAUUCCGGGGGGCAUGCCUGUCCGAGCGUCAUUGCGAACCCCUCAAGCACGGCUUGUGUGAUGGGCCCUCCCGCGUCUUGGUCGUCAAGACGGGCCCGAAAUGCAGUGGCGGCUUCGCGGUUAUCCGAUCAGCCAGAGCGUAUGGGGACUUUCUCUCUGUCACACGCCCGCGGCGCGGACCGACGCCUGUCGACCUUCAUUCAUCGUUUUCUCGGUUGACCUCGGAUCAGGUAGGGAUACCCGCUGAACUUAAGC
This 329-nucleotide unclassified non-coding RNA is filed under the name plant metagenome. RNAcentral describes it as "partial contains 5.8S ribosomal RNA, internal transcribed spacer 2, and large subunit ribosomal RNA". The stretch from base 1 to 105 matches the Rfam family "5.8S ribosomal RNA", at positions 50 to 154 of the family's 154-position model. The record is from RNAcentral.